UGAGGAAUAUUGGUCAAUGGGAGGAAUCCUGAACCAGCCAUGCCGCGUGCAGGACGACGGCUCUACGAGUUGUAAACUGCUUUUGUACCGGGGUAAAAUGCUCUACGAGUAGGGUUUUGAAAGUACGGUACGAAUAAGGAUCGGCUAACUCCGUGCCAGCAGCCGCGGUAAUACGGAGGAUCCGAGCGUUAUCCGGAUUCAUUGGGUUUAAAGGGUGCGUAGGUUGUUUUAUAAGUUAGCGGUGAAAUACCGAUGCUCAACAUCGGGGCUGCCGCUAAUACUGUAGGACUAGAGAUCGGAUGCAGCAGGCGGAAUGUGUAGUGUAGCGGUGAAAUGCAUAGAUAUUACACAGAACACCGAUUGCGAAGGCAGCUUGCUAGGCCGGAUCUGACACUGAUGCACGAAAGCGUGGGGAUCGAACAGGAUUAGAUACCC
This 435-nucleotide ribosomal RNA is filed under the name uncultured bacterium. Its description in RNAcentral is "bacterial SSU rRNA". It matches the Rfam family "Bacterial small subunit ribosomal RNA", at positions 355 to 787 of the family's 1533-position model. The record is from RNAcentral.